GCCUUCGCUGCCGUGUGGCAGCCCGGCCGGGUUCAUCCCGGCCGGAAGUCGGUUCGCAUCCGGCCGAAGGUAC
RNAcentral lists this transfer RNA (73 nucleotides) under Streptomyces phage Frankenweenie. RNAcentral describes it as "tRNA-Sec". The record is from RNAcentral. Lineage: Duplodnaviria; Heunggongvirae; Uroviricota; Caudoviricetes.